Molecule: ribosomal RNA, 329 nt
Filed under: uncultured eukaryote
Lineage: Eukaryota
Description: partial 18S ribosomal RNA
Rfam family: Eukaryotic small subunit ribosomal RNA
Source: RNAcentral
CCCUUAGAUGUCCUGGGCCGCACGCGCGCUACACUGAGUGUCUGAGAUACGAGUCUGCCUGGUCCGGCAAGGUCUAGGUAAUCGCUAAAAGACACAUCAUGCUUGGGAUAGAUUAUUGCAAAUAUUAAUCUUGAACGAGGAAUUCCUGGUAAGCGCAAGUCAACAGCUUGCGUUGAUUACGUCCCUGCCCUUUGUACACACCGCCCGUCGCUACUACUGAUUGGAUGUUUAAGCGAGGUUCUCGAACUGCUAGCGACUUAGCUUCGGUGAGGUCGCAGUGUGGGGAGUGAACCUAGCUUUGGUGUCUAGAGGAAGUAAAAGUCGUAACA